This 448-nucleotide ribosomal RNA is filed under the name uncultured bacterium. RNAcentral describes it as "bacterial SSU rRNA". It matches the Rfam family "Bacterial small subunit ribosomal RNA", at positions 329 to 794 of the family's 1533-position model. The record is from RNAcentral.
UGCCAGACUCCUACGGGAGGCAGCAGUGGGGAAUAUUGCACAAUGGGCGAAAGCCUGAUGCAGCGACGCCGCGUGAGUGAAGAAGUAUUUCGGUAUGUAAAGCUCUAUCAGCAGGGAAGAAAAUGACGGUACCUGACUAAGAAGCCCCGGCUAACUACGUGCCAGCAGCCGCGGUAAUACGUAGGGGGCAAGCGUUAUCCGGAUUUACUGGGUGUAAAGGGAGCGUAGACGGUGAUGCAAGUCAGAAGUGAAAGCCCGGGGCUCAACUCCGGGACUGCUUUUGAAACUGUGUAACUGGAGUGCAGGAGAGGUAAGCGGAAUUCCUAGUGUAGCGGUGAAAUGCGUAGAUAUUAGGAGGAACACCAGUGGCGAAGGCGGCUUACUGGACUGUAACUGACGUUGAGGCUCGAAAGCGUGGGGAGCAAACAGGAUUAGAUACCCCCGUAAC